This 445-nucleotide ribosomal RNA is filed under the name uncultured bacterium. Its description in RNAcentral is "partial 16S ribosomal RNA". It matches the Rfam family "Bacterial small subunit ribosomal RNA", at positions 354 to 796 of the family's 1533-position model. The record is from RNAcentral.
GUGGGGAAUAUUGCGCAAUGGAGGCAACUCUGACGCAGCCAUGCCGCGUGCAGGAAGAAGGCGCUACGCGUUGUAAACUGCUUUUAACCGGGAAGAAACCCCAGGACGUGUCCCGGGUUGACGGUACCGGAGGAAUAAGCACCGGCUAACUUCGUGCCAGCAGCCGCGGUAAUACGAAGGGUGCAAGCGUUAUCCGGAUUCAUUGGGUUUAAAGGGUGCGUAGGCGGAGCGUUAAGUCAGUGGUGAAAUCCUGCAGCUUAACUGUAGACUUGCCAUUGAUACUGGCGCUCUUGAGUGCGCUUGAAGUGGGCGGAAUGUGCCGUGUAGCGGUGAAAUGCUUAGAUAUGGCACAGAACACCAAUUGCGAAGGCAGCUCACUAAGGCGAUACUGACGCUGAGGCACGAAAGCGUGGGGAUCGAACAGGAUUAGAAACCCGAGUAGUCC